AUAUCAAUAAGCGGAGGAAAAGAAACCAACAGGGAUUGCCCUAGUAACGGCGAGUGAAGCGGCAACAGCUCAAAUUUGAAAUCUGGCUCUCGGGCCUGAGUUGUAAUUUGUAGAGGAUACUUUUGAUGCGGUGCCUUCCGAGUUCCCUGGAACGGGACGCCAUAGAGGGUGAGAGCCCCGUCUGGUUGGAUGCCAAAUCUCUGUAAAGUUCCUUCAACGAGUCGAGUAGUUUGGGAAUGCUGCUCUAAAUGGGAGGUAUAUGUCUUCUAAAGCUAAAUACCGGCCAGAGACCGAUAGCGCACAAGUAGAGUGAUCGAAAGAUGAAAAGCACUUUGAAAAGAGAGUUAAAAAGUACGUGAAAUUGUUGAAAGGGAAGCGUUUAUGACCAGACUUGGGCUUGGUUAAUCAUCUGGGGUUCUCCCCAGUGCACUUUUCCAGUCCAGGCCAGCAUCAGUUUUCCCCGGGGGAUAAAGGCGGCGGGAAUGUGGCUCUCUUCGGGGAGUGUUAUAGCCCACCGUGUAAUACCCUGGGGGGGACUGAGGUUCGCGCAUCUGCAAGGAUGCUGGCGUAAUGGUCAUCAACG
This 583-nucleotide ribosomal RNA is filed under the name Fusarium oxysporum f. sp. albedinis. RNAcentral's name for it is "LSU rRNA". It matches the Rfam family "Eukaryotic large subunit ribosomal RNA", at positions 40 to 646 of the family's 3401-position model. Lineage: Eukaryota; Fungi; Ascomycota; Sordariomycetes; Hypocreales; Nectriaceae. The record is from RNAcentral.